Molecule: long non-coding RNA, 1020 nt
Filed under: Malus domestica (apple)
Lineage: Eukaryota; Viridiplantae; Streptophyta; Magnoliopsida; Rosales; Rosaceae
Description: long non-coding RNA (MDOM_LNC016474)
Source: RNAcentral
CAUUUGCACGGGCAAGUGUAGAAGAUUGCUAGGGGAGGGGAACAAAUAUCCUCUAGCUCUCUCUCUUGUAGGGUAGAAUAAAUCGCUCUCCAAAGUUGAUUUAAUAACCCACUUAAGAUGGACUUAAAUAGGCUUUAAGAGAAGUUUAGUUCCCUUUCCUAGAAGGAUCUAAUUUCCUAUUAAAGAGGGAAUCUACAUCAAGAUAGGAAACAAGCCUAAGUUUCCUAAAGCAAGAAAAUCUCUACACCUGUUGCCCUUUUCUACGAGCAAUCGAACAGGUGUUGGGGCAUUUGUGGAGAAAAAAAUAAUCAAGAGACGACACGUGGACUUUUGGGUGAAAUGACGAAAUUACCCUUGAGGCACACCGGGAUUCUUACGUGUGAGCAGUGGACAAUCAUCCUCCAAUCAAGUCAAAAGUGCCCAAAUAGGUAUUUAUUUAUAUUCUAUUUCAUCCAUCCCUCAUCAUAUCUUCUCCACAAGGUAACCUCUAAAUCAUUCCUUUUUUAUUAUAUUAAUUAGCUAAAUUAAUUGAUUAAUUAUUCAAUUAAUUAACCAAUUAAACACAAAUCAUGAACCUAGACCACAAAACCAUCCAAGUGGCCGGGCACUCCCCUAUAUAAACCCUAUCAUUCUCUCCGAAACUCAAUUCCAAUUCUCUUGCUAAAUUCUCUAAAUUAUCCAAACACUUUUCCCUCAAAAUUCUAACUUUUGCAUUGGAGGUUCUUCGGCCAAAGCCCCCCUCCCCCCAAACCCACCCCCUCCAUUCAUUGUGGGCGCAUGAGGCUCUUGGCCUUGACCUAAGGUGUUAUUUGUUUUGUAGGUGCAAUUUUGUCCAAGAACAAUGAGGAAGAAAUUUGCAUCCACAAGUAUCCUAACACUUAUUUUUUAACAAAGUACCCUAACACUUAGAACAAUAUAUUUAAGACACCAGGCCCUUUAUGCAAAGGAAUCCUCAUUUUUAUCAAAAAAAUGGGGAUUAGGCAUGGGUCCACUCCACAUCGAACUUUAAACAGUCUAUUU